RNAcentral lists this unclassified non-coding RNA (312 nucleotides) under Hevea brasiliensis (rubber tree). The record is from RNAcentral. Lineage: Eukaryota; Viridiplantae; Streptophyta; Magnoliopsida; Malpighiales; Euphorbiaceae.
GCCUGGAUGUUCCAGUCAGCUCUCUGGUGCUGAAACAAUGGAAGCCCAGCUUAUUCAAAUCAAGAUAACCAGUGCAGGCUUGUGGUCGCACAAUGAGUCUGAAUCCAGUAUAGCAGAUGUUCCUGUAAAGGAGAUUGUAUCAGAUAAACUAGUAUUGCUAAAUGUGGAUGAUGAAGAUGGAUUGACAUUUCUGGCUCCAAAGUUGUGGUUGAAUUGGAUUGGCUCGAGUGCUAGGAAAGGGAAGCUAGCAUUGAAAUUCUGGAAGACUGAUUCUGAACAUCUUGAACAUCAACCUGGAAGCUCUACCGGCAG